UAUGUCUGUCUCUUCUGUUCGCCUGCCACUUCACCAAUGAAGCGGCUCAGCUCGUUCAGGGCAGCAGACUUAUCAAAUACAACAUGGAGAAGAAGAUGGCCAAGUGAUGAAUGUGCACAGCGGUCACGGUCAUGCUUUGGAGGAGACCCACGAAUCUGUAUUGCAACAUCUGAUCUGUUCUAACACAAUAAAUAAUCAUUCAUAUACAUAGAUGAUUGGUUUUAUGCUAUUUUUCUCUGUUACACAUAUAACAUUUCAAGCCUUACAACACAGCCUCGAAGGUUAGAGUUUGUAAGUAAUGCAGAAAUAUUUGAUUAAUUUAUUUCCAUACAUAAUGCGAUCAGUGUGU
Sinocyclocheilus anshuiensis is the source of this 349-nucleotide long non-coding RNA. RefSeq lists it as uncharacterized. Lineage: Eukaryota; Metazoa; Chordata; Actinopteri; Cypriniformes; Cyprinidae. The record is from RefSeq and is a predicted model, not a curated record. The transcript has 2 exons.